RNAcentral lists this ribosomal RNA (229 nucleotides) under uncultured bacterium. RNAcentral describes it as "partial 16S ribosomal RNA". It matches the Rfam family "Bacterial small subunit ribosomal RNA", at positions 104 to 334 of the family's 1533-position model. The record is from RNAcentral.
CGGGGUGAGUAAUGCUUGGGAAUCUAGCUUAUGGAGGGGGAUAACUACGGGAAACUGUAGCUAGUACCGCGUAGUAUCGGAAGAUGAAAGUGUGGGACCUUCGGGCCACAUGCCAUAGGAUGAGCCCAAGUGGGAUUAGGUAGUUGGUGAGGUAAAGGCUCACCAAGCCGACGAUCUCUAGCUGGUCUGAGAGGAUGACCAGCCACACUGGGACUGAGACACGGCCCAG